This 4953-nucleotide long non-coding RNA is filed under the name Homo sapiens (human). RNAcentral describes it as "HSALNT0210735". The record is from RNAcentral. Lineage: Eukaryota; Metazoa; Chordata; Mammalia; Primates; Hominidae.
AUCUGCAUGGAACAAUGCUGCUUCUCUGCAUGACUAGAGUUUGUUUUCUCUUUGAAGAUAAUCUCACUAGGAUCAAGACCAUACCUGCUGGAGAGUCAGGACUCUGGAUUUCUGAUUGUUUUCAGGACAGCUACCCUCAUCCUAGGCUGAUCUGAGUUUCUGGGUCUUUCUCUGCCUGUUCUUUCCUCUCCCCUUCCCUUCCCUGCUGCAGAAAGUGUUUUAUGUGGGUGUCAGCAACAUCAGGACCUUUCAAGCCCCUUGCCCCAGUAUCAUCCCUGAAUGCAAAACUCACUCAGAGGCCUGGGGAAGAGAUUCGAACUCUGCUUUUCCUCUGCCACCUCAGGUGUGUUCCAGCUUACAAGACACUUUCACAGAAAAAAAGUUCAGGGAAUGGAAUUGGAAGGCAAAAAUAGCUGCUCGAUGCUGACUUGGCACAUUUGACUUUGACCAAAUCAUCCAGCGCCUCGUCCUUAGUACUCUGGUUUCCACAGAAUAAUCCUCAUGCAGUGAGUAGUGGAAGUCAGGAGGAAUAAACUGCCUAGAUGUCAUGAAGGGAAAACAAUGCACAAUAGACUUGUGCAGAAUCUAUUCCUGUCCGUUUCCCUGUGAAUCCAGAUUGCUGAACACUGGCCGAUGUCUGAGCUGUGGUUUCCCCCUGGAUUUGAAAUUUAGUUACUAGAAGACAAUGCUUUUGAAUGGCUUCUUGGCCAUGACUUUCACAGGGCCUGCUGGCUGUUGCCUGAUGAUUGUCUGAUAGGCCUAGCCCCUUGGCAAAGCAAUGUUUCAUUUGCAAAACUACGCUUGUCCGGUGCCUCCUGGGAACUGAAAGCCUGGCAUCAGCAGAGGAACGCAAAUUGGGCAAAUCACGGAUCUCCCAGGCGUGCGUUGCUUGGGGGCCAUGGUACACAGCACUGCUAAAAGUCUAGGACAAUCUAUGUGUUUUAGGAGCAAACCAGUGCCUUGCACUUCUAAGCUGUAUCCUUUGCUCCCUCCCUGAGAGGCAGCCGUGUGCUCUGGGCUUCCUAGGUAAGUGACUCACACCAACUAUAAGCCUGGCUUAUGACCUAGAAAAGGAAACAGGAAGUGGCUUAGAGACAUAAAGAGCACAGCCCAGAAGGGGCUGCUGUGGAAUUCUCCUCAGAUGAGACGGAGUCCAGUGGGCAGAGGGGCAACUUAGCAUCCUCUCUUUCCCCAUGUUACCACGAUGCUCUUGGCAGGGACCAUUUGAUGGGGAUUCGGAUGUCUUCCUGGGGUGCCUUGUAUGACCUCUGAAAAUAUGACCUGAAGCAGAUGGAUGCACUCACAUAAGAAACAUCACCUGUGGCCUUCAUCGAAAAUGGGCCUGCUGCUUGAAGAAGUUGGGCUCUUGGAGUUCUCUAGCACAGGGGCCAUGAAAAUCAAUGACUUCCUUGUUUGCUGACGGAGCAGAGGUAGAAUCUCUUGGUGUUUCCACGGAGAAAACACUGACCAUGAAGAGCCAAGAAAGAUGACAUGAUGAAGCCAUCAGGGGAAGCACCAAACAUCCUCAACUCUGCUCACCCAUGGUUUUCUCCCGCCCUCCCAGAGCUCCUCCUGCGUGAGUAAUGCAGUGUGUGCUGGUGCAGUGUCUCACUGAAAAAAGAAAGAAACCCUGAUUUGCAGCAUUGGCCAAUUUCUGUAGUGUAAAUACUCCCACCAUAGCAGAUUUCAGGUUACCAAGGGUUUCACAACUGGUUCACAAGUCUUGACUGUAAUGACCAGCUCAUGCAACUCCAGCAUCUCAUCAUCUCCGCCCUGUCCCAGAAAAUCCCCACAUCACACCCAGGCUGAAUAUCACUUUCAGCUUCUCAGUCAGAAGGAGAAGUGGUUAACUAUGCCAGGAUGGUAAUGACUAAAUAUCAGAAUGGUGAGUGUGGAGGGUCAGGAUGUCUGCCAAAUUGGAGAUGACUCUUCACUUCUCAAUCUUGGUGUCUCAUCUGGGGAAGCUGGAGGGAGACAUGCACAGCUUCUCAUGAACAGUCCUGGAAGCCCUUACCCCAAGGCCUCAUGGGGCUCUCUCCAGGGCUUGCUCUUUGUCACUCCUUUAAAAGCCUGUCAUUCAUUGCCAGAGAACAGAAGACUCCAUCCUAAGGCCAAGUUGAAAACGGCAGGCUUGGGAGCUGUCUAGACUCUGGGUCCUGGCUUUUGUCUUGGCUGGUGUCAAAAUGGACUCUUUAAAAACUGUCCUCAGGAAGAUUCCCCAUCCAACUCUGAACAGCCUGGACUGAUCUUUUUCUGAUUUUUAGGGGUCUUGUGAACAAGAGUCAGGUGGGCGGGCAGCUCUUGUAAAGCUGAACAUAACCAAAUUUGUCCAUAGCCUGUGACAGCAAAGAUCACAAAAUUCUUCCCUCCCCUUUAGGGCCUGGGAGUGACGCCGAACCAAGGGGAGGAUAGUGACCUAUUUUAUCUCCCAAACAUUGGGCAGCCAGUUGCAUUUGCAGAUUUAAAAUCCACCCACACUACUGCAGUUUCUGUUCUCCUGCCCCCCCGAGCAUACUUCUGGCUGGAGCUGGUUUUGUAAAGUGGAGUUGGCUGUGGGUGUGGGAGUCCUCCUCGGAGAGCCUGGUCUGACAGCCCCAGUCAACAGCCCUCCCAUGGGCAUUUGGGCUGCUCCAGUCCCGGCAGGUGCACAGCUCAGGGGAAUCUGGUUUUGUCUUGGUCUCAGCCAGGGAAGUCUAGUUAAAGAAAGAAAAGGUUGGCCGGGUGCAGAGGCUCACACCUGUAAUCCCAGCACUUUGGGAGGCUGAGAUGGGCAGAUCACGAGGUCAGGAGUUUGAGACCAGCAUGGCCAACAUGGUGAAACCCCGUCUCUACUAAAAAUACAAAAAUUAGCUGGGCGUGGUGGCAGAUGCCUGUAAUCCCAGCUACUUGGGAGGCUGAGGCAGGAGAAUUGCUUGAAACCAGAAGGUGGAGGUUGCAGUGAGCCGAGAUCGCGCCACUGCACUCCAGCCUGGGCAACAAGAACAAAACUCUGUCUCAAAAAAAAAAAAAAAAAAAAAAAGGUCUCGGUGGAAAUGGCCUUGAAUCUGGGGUCUCUCUCAUAUUCUAAUCACUCAAUCACUUAACAAAUACUUAUUGAGGGCCUACUAGGUGCCACACAUUGGAAGACAGUGGAGGGUGAAGCAGAGUCUGCCCUCAGGGAGCUUACAGUUUAGAUUACAGGCAAGACAGCCCUUACACACAUAAUUCCAGAUGAGUCAAUAAUGACCAGGGUGCAGAGGCUUUGAAGCAGAAGCAUAAGGUGCAAUGGGAGCAUAAAACAGGGAAGCCUAAUGCAGACUGAGGGGCCUGAGGAGGGUUCCUUGAGAAAGUGAGGUUGAAGCUGAGAACCUGAGGAGUGGUUUUCACGCAGUGCAAUUGAAGGUUGAAAGGGAAGAUCCUCCAAUGCACAAAGAAUUCAUGCUUCAGAAACAUUCUCUUCCUGAGGAUACAUUUGGGAAUUUAGGUAGAAAUUAACUGUCUUGCCUUCAUAUACAGUGUAGUGGAGACCACUGUAGGUCUCCAACUUUUUGUCUUUUCUUAAUAACAAGUCCCCAGUUUUUGCUAGGUACAUAGCUACCCAGAGAAAAGAUUAUGUGGCCACCUUACUAUGUUCUGGCCAAUGAGAUGUCAGCAGAGGUAAUAUGCGGGGCCUCUGAGAAGGCCCUUUCCUGCUACCUGGUACCUGGCUGGAGGCUGAAAAGCCAUUAGGGACGAGACAUGCUAAGGUUGGAGGGUCAGCGUAUUACAUGGAGCCUCCUUCCCUGAUGGCCUUGGGCUGCCAUACCAGCCCUGGAUUGCCUAAUUCCCGACUUCUUUUGUAAAAGGGAGAAAUAAGGGUCAAUUUUUAAAAAAGCAUCUAUUACUUUGACAUUUUCUGUCACACACAGCCAAAUAUAAUCCUAACUACUAUACACAGCUUCUUUUCAGCUUAAUGAAAAGAUCAUUGUUCUGCACUACACAUAAAUUACCUAUUUUAUAGAAAAGUCUGUGAUUACAAUAGCUAUUUUCCCAGCCUCCUUCAUCACCUCCUUGAUCCCCUUAUCCUCCCCUCGGCCCUGCACCUCCUCUCUUUCCUGACUCCCACACCAGAGCUAGGCCUGCCCUGGGCACUUUUGCCUCCAGGAAUGAAUGAGGCUCACAGCCCGAAGGUGCUCCAAGUCUUGGCUACCUUCCCUCAGUGGCUGCCCUGGCAAAGGUCCUGCCGCAGGGAAUCACACAAAGUCCAGCAAAGCAACUGGUCUUUCCUGUCCAUUCUCACCCUUCCCAAGAAAGUGUGAAGAGUUACAAUACUCAGGCAGAGCUGGAAAAAUCAUACCCUUUUAGAGAAUCCACAAGAAUUAUUGGAGGUGCUUUCACUGACCUGCCCUGCCUUGGGUUUUUCAAGCUACGCAGAUGGGUUUUUCAAGCUACGCAGAAUUUAAUGGAUCUGUUUCCCCAGCCUCUGGCUAACCAAAUCCAAAACAUCAAGAGUCAAGGGGAGAAGGUCAGCAUGUUUAGUUACAAACCUUUGGGGCUGUCUGGGGUGAUUGCAGGCCUCAGCAUGCUGGCUUUGGGUGCGGUGAGGCUGGGGAUGCAUAGAAUUCUGUCCCCUCUGCCCCUGCCUCAAAAAAAAAGUUGAAGGCUUAAACCCCAGUACCUCAGACUAUGGCCUUAUUUGGAGAUAGUCUUUACAGAGGUAAUCAAGUUAAAAUGUGGUCAUUAAGGUCAGCCCUAAUCUAAUAUAACUCCUGUCCUUAUGAAAAGGGGAAAUUUGGCCGGGUGCGGUGGCGGCUCAUGUCUGUAAUCCCAGGACUUUGGGAGGCCAAGGGGGCGGAUCACAAGGUCAGGAGUUUGAGACCAGCCUGUCCAAUAUGGUGAAACCCCAUUUCUACUAAAAAUACAAAAAUUAGCCAGGUGUAGGGGCACGCGUCUGUAGUCCCAGCUACUUGGGAGGCUGAGGCAGAAGAACCCGGG